UAUUGGACAAUGGGGGCAACCCUGAUCCAGCCAUGCCGCGUGAGUGAUGACGGCCUUAGGGUNGUAAAGCUCUUUUCUCCGGGACNNUANNNANGGUACCGGAGGAAUAAGCACCGGCUAACUUCGUGCCNNNAGCCGCGGUAAUACGAAGGGGGCUAGCGUUGCUCGGAAUCACUGGGCGUAAAGGGCGCGUAGGCGGCUGAUUUAGUCGAGGGUGAAAGCCCGUGGCUCAACCACGGAAUGGCCUUCGAUACUGAUUGGCUUGAGACCGGAAGAGGACAGCGGAACUGCGAGUGUAGAGGUGAAAUUCGUAGAUAUUCGCAAGAACACCAGUGGCGAAGGCGGCUGUCUGGUCCGGUUCUGACGCUGAGGCGCGAAAGCGUGGGGAGCAAACAG
Molecule: ribosomal RNA, 396 nt
Filed under: uncultured bacterium
Lineage: Bacteria
Description: partial 16S ribosomal RNA
Rfam family: Bacterial small subunit ribosomal RNA
Source: RNAcentral